UCUUAUAAAUUCUCUCAAUACUCACAAUUCUCUCAAAUUCUCUCAAAUUCUCUUCUCUCAAGUCUCAAAUUUUCUCAAUACUCAAAAUUCUCUCAAAUUCUCUUAAAUUCUCUCAAUUUUCUCAAUCCACGCAAUUCUUUCUUAAUUCUCCCAAUUAAUCCACUCAAUUCUCUCAAUCCACUCAAAAAAUGACAAGUGGAAGUCGAGUGCCAACUGGCAAAGGUAAGAAUAUCAUGACGGAAUCCCAUCAUUCUUUUGAUCCUCGUGAAUAUGCAGAUUUUCAAGAGGAUGAAAUCAACAUUUUUCCCGAUAUGGAGCGCGUCCCGACGCAAGAAAGUUUUCAUCCUCCUGCCGAAAUAUCUACAACAAAGGAAGCAGAAUGGGAAUUUACAUCUGACAUUUGGAAUCACUUCACGAAAAUGGAAAGGUUUGAUAUUGGUAAAAAAAGGUAUGAUAUAAUUUGUAAAUAUUGUGGGAAAAUAUAUAAAUAUACAGGUGGACAAAGAUAUGGAACAUUUAAACGACAUCUUAGGAGCAAACAUCCAACCGAAACGGGAAUCGAUAUCGGGCAACAACAAAUUUCCGGUUGCGGUCGAACAAGCAUUCAGUGCCGGAGGUAAUAUUUUGGACGAACAUCGUUCAAGAUUAGCUCCAGAAUCAGUGGAGAUUCAAGCUUGUGUUGCUGAUUGGACGAAGGCUCAAUACCGGCAACAAGAGAUAGAUCGGAAUAAUGAAUCCGAAUUCUUUAACGACGAAGAUACUACCGCUACUGGUACCGGUACCGGUACUGGAACGGGUAGUGACGAUUGAGGGUAAAAGAACUAUUGGAGUUGGUAAAUAUUUCGGGAACCCUUGUUUCUCAUACCGGGUACGCCCACGUGAGCUUAGGGAAACCGAAGUAUAAUCCGACGACAUGUGACCUCUGGUCCCCUGCGCACGGAAUGCUUAGGUUUUGGGAUCAUUUUAGGGCAUAUAUAUUGUGCUCCUUUUUUUUAUAGAUCGUUGUAACGAAUUGUAAUGUGCUUAAUGAUAAUUUAUUAAGUUCAA
Molecule: long non-coding RNA, 1047 nt
Organism: Syzygium oleosum
Lineage: Eukaryota; Viridiplantae; Streptophyta; Magnoliopsida; Myrtales; Myrtaceae
Exons: 2
Source: RefSeq, a predicted model, not a curated record